UGGAUAACCAUGGUAAUUCUAUGGCUAAUACAUGCGCAAUCGCCUCCUUCUCUGGAGGGGCUGUGUUUAUUAGAUACAAAACCAACCCACUUUGUGGAGUCCUGGUGAUUCAUAGUAACCGAACGGAUCGCAGUUGGCUUCGGCCCGCGAUGGAUCUUUCAAGUUUCUGACCUAUCAGCUUUCGACGGUAGGGUAUUGGCCUACCGUGGCAGUGACGGGUAACGGGGAAUUAGGGUUCGAUUCCGGAGAGGGAGCCUGAGAAACGGCUACCACAUCUAAGGAAGGCAGCAGGCGCGCAAAUUACCCAAUGAAAACAGUUUCGAGGUAGUGACGAGAAAUAACAAUACAGGGCAUUUUAUGCUCUGUAAUUGGAAUGAUGGGAAUGUAAAACCCUUUCAGAGUAACAAUUGGAGGGCAAGUCUGGUGCCAGCAGCCGCGGUAAUUCCAGCUCCAAUAGUGUAUAUUAGAGUUGUUGCAGUUAAAAAGCUCGUAGUUGGAUUUCUGUCGUGGUCAUCCGGUUCCGCCCGUAUGGGUGUGCACCUGGUUUGCCCUCGGCUUUCUUCCGGUAGCCUUCCGCGCUUCACUGCGUGUGUUGGUGUUCCGGAACUUUUACUUUGAGAAAAAUAGAGUGUUUCAAGCAGGCUUGUCGCCCUGAAUACUUCAGCAUGGAAUAAUAAGAUAGGACCUUGGUUCUAUUUUGUUGGUUUCUAGGACCAAGGUAAUGAUUAAUAGGGACAGUUGGGGGCAUUCGUAUUUAACUGUCAGAGGUGAAAUUCUUAGAUUUGUUAAAGACGAACUACUGCGAAAGCAUUUGCCAAGGAUGUUUUCAUUAAUCAAGAACGACAGUAGGGGGUUUGAAGACGAUUAGAUACCGUCGUAAUCUCUACCAUAAACUAUGCCGACUAGAGAUAGGGAAACGCCUACCUUGGCUUCUCCUGCACCUCAUGAGAAAUCAAAGUCUCUGGGUUCUGGGGGGGAGUAUGGUCGCAAGGCUGAAACUUAAAGGAAUUGACGGAAGGGCACCACCAGGCGUGGAGCCUGCGGCUUAAUUUGACUCAACACGGGGAAACUCACCAGGUCCAGA
This 1084-nucleotide ribosomal RNA is filed under the name Eimeria sp. Its description in RNAcentral is "SSU rRNA". It matches the Rfam family "Eukaryotic small subunit ribosomal RNA", at positions 140 to 1228 of the family's 1831-position model. The record is from RNAcentral. Lineage: Eukaryota; Apicomplexa; Conoidasida; Eucoccidiorida; Eimeriidae.